RNAcentral lists this ribosomal RNA (484 nucleotides) under uncultured bacterium. RNAcentral's name for it is "partial 16S ribosomal RNA". It matches the Rfam family "Bacterial small subunit ribosomal RNA", at positions 30 to 507 of the family's 1533-position model. The record is from RNAcentral.
AUUGAACGCUGGCGGCAGGCCUAACACAUGCAAGUCGAGCGGAUGAAGGGAGCUUGCUCCUGGAUUCAGCGGCGGACGGGUGAGUAAUGCCUAGGAAUCUGCCUGGUAGUGGGGGAUAACGUCCGGAAACGGGCGCUAAUACCGCAUACGUCCUGAGGGAGAAAGUGGGGGAUCUUCGGACCUCACGCUAUCAGAUGAGCCUAGGUCGGAUUAGCUAGUUGGUGGGGUAAAGCCCUACCAAGGCGACGAUCCGUAACUGGUCUGAGAGGAUGAUCAGUCACACUGGAACUGAGACACGGUCCAGACCCCUACGGGAGGCAGCAGUGGGGAAUAUUGGACAAUGGGCGAAAGCCUGAUCCAGCCAUGCCGCGUGUGUGAAGAAGGUCUUCGGAUUGUAAAGCACUUUAAGUUGGGAGGAAGGGCAGUAAGUUAAUACCUUGCUGUUUUGACGUUACCAACAGAAUAAGCACCGGCUAACUUCGUG